AGUGAACGCUGGCGGUAGGCCUAACACAUGCAAGUCGAACGGCAGCACAGUAAGAGCUUGCUCUUACGGGUGGCGAGUGGCGGACGGGUGAGGAAUACAUCGGAAUCUACUUUUUCGUGGGGGAUAACGUAGGAAAACUUACGCUAAUACCGCAUACGACCUACGGGUGAAAGCAGGGGAUCUUCGGACCUUGCGCGAUUGAAUGAGCCGAUGUCGGAUUAGCUAGUUGGCGGGGUAAAGGCCCACCAAGGCGACGAUCCGUAGCUGGUCUGAGAGGAUGAUCAGCCACACUGGAACUGAGACACGGUCCAGACUCCUACGGGAGGCAGCAGUGGGGAAUAUUGGACAAUGGGCGCAAGCCUGAUCCAGCCAUACCGCGUGGGUGAAGAAGGCCUUCGGGUUGUAAAGCCCUUUUGUUGGGAAAGAAAAGCAGCAGGUUAAUACCCCGCUGUUCUGACGGUACCCAAAGAAUAAGCACCGGCUAACUUCGU
RNAcentral lists this ribosomal RNA (491 nucleotides) under uncultured bacterium. Its description in RNAcentral is "partial 16S ribosomal RNA". It matches the Rfam family "Bacterial small subunit ribosomal RNA", at positions 29 to 506 of the family's 1533-position model. The record is from RNAcentral.